AAUAGAUACCCCGGUAGUCCACGCCGUAAACGAUGAGUGCUAAGUGUUAGAGGGUUUCCGCCCUUUAGUGCUGCAGCUAACGCAUUAAGCACUCCGCCUGGGGAGUACGGCCGCAAGGCCGAAACUCAAAGGAAUUGACGGGGGCCCGCACAAGCGGUGGAGCAUGUGGUUUAAUUCGAAGCAACGCGAAGAACCUUACCAGGUCUUGACAUCCUCUGCCAACCCUAGAGAUAGGGCGUUCCCCUUCGGGGGACAGAGUGACAGGUGGUGCAUGGUUGUCGUCAGCUCGUGUCGUGAGAUGUUGGGUUAAGUCCCGCAACGAGCGCAACCCUUGAUCUUAGUUGCCAGCAUUCAGUUGGGCACUCUAAGGUGACUGCCGGUGACAAACCGGAGGAAGGUGGGGAUGACGUCAAAUCAUCAUGCCCCUUAUGACCUGGGCUACACACGUGCUACAAUGGAUGGUACAAAGAGCUGCGAACCCGCGAGGGUAAGCCAAUCUCAUAAAGCCAUUCUCAGUUCGGA
Molecule: ribosomal RNA, 522 nt
Filed under: uncultured bacterium
Lineage: Bacteria
Description: bacterial SSU rRNA
Rfam family: Bacterial small subunit ribosomal RNA
Source: RNAcentral